AUUGGAUCCAGUUUGGAGGACUUAACGGAGUUGGGAAUUAGCCGCAAACGCCACAAUGCCGUCCAAGCCUGCCCCCAUCAAGAAGGCGGCGAAGCCAGCCAAGAAGGAGGAGGCGGCGGAGCCCGCUGCCGCCGAGGCCGCCCCGGCAGAAGCAGCACCAGCCGAAGCCGCCCCGGCCCCCGCUGAGGGUGAGGCUGCACCUGCUGAGGCCGCCGCUGAGGAGCCCAAACCCCCCACCCCUCCACCGGCAGAAGCUGAAGCUGCUGAAGCGCCUGCAGAAGAGGUUAGACCCGAAACACCUCCCCCUCCUCCAGAGCCCACAAGCAUCCCUCUGGAUCUGUUUAUUGAGGACAAGAAUGACACUACAGUCACUAUCAUGUGGAGCCAGCCCGAGGUGAUCGGAAACUCUGGCCUGGACGGAUACACCAUUGAAGUCUGCAAGGACGGAACUGAGGACUGGAAAGCUGUCAAUGAGGAUCUGCAGAAGUCCUGCCGCUACAUUAUCAAGAACCAGACCACCGGGGACCGUCUGAAGAUCCGUGUGGUGGCCCUGAACGCCGGCGGCCGCAGCCCCUCCCUCUCCCUCCCAGAGGCCGUGCUGGUGAAGGAGGUCGCUGAUCGUCCCAAGGUCCGCCUGCCGCGCUACCUCAGGCAGAGAUACGUCGCUCAAGUUGGAGAGAAGAUCAACCUGACCAUCCCCUUCUCGGGCAAACCCAAACCCGUGGUCUCCUGGACGAAGGACGGGCUGCCCCUGGACACCAAGAGGGUGAUGAUCCGCAGCACGGAGAGGGACAGCAUCCUGUUCAUCCGCGUGUCCGAGAGGGACGACUCCGGUGUGUACGAGAUUUGUGUGAAGGUGGACGACUUCGAGGACAAGGCUCAGCUCAUCCUGCAGAUUGUUGAGCUGCCAGGUCCCCCCGCCAGUGUGAAGGUUGCAGAUACCUGGGGCUUCAAUGUUGCUCUGGAAUGGACCGCACCCACAGACAAAGGAAACACAGACAUCACAGGCUACACCGUCCAGAAGUCUGACAAAAAGACCGGAGACUGGUUCACUGUCGUGGAUCAUUACCAUAGACUGAAUGCCACCAUCUCUGACCUCAUCAUGGGCAACACCUACAAGUUCAGAGUGUAUUCUGAAAACAAGUGUGGAAUUAGCGAGGAGGCUACAGUUGCGAAGGAGGAAUCCUCAAUCGUGAAGAUUGGUAUUGACUACAAACCUCCAGAGUACAAGGAGCGCGACUUCACCGAGCCGCCCAAGUUCACCACGGCUCUGAACGACAGAGCCACCACCGUCGGCUACAGCACCAAGCUGCUGUGCUCCGUCAGGGGGGUGCCAAGGCCCAAGGUUAUUUGGAUGAAGAACCAGAUGAUUAUUGGAGAAGACCCCAAGUAUAGGCAGAUCUGCGUCCAGGGUAUCUGUUCUCUGGAGAUCCGUAAGCCUGGUAACUAUGACGGUGGCGUGUACACCUGCAAAGCCAAGAACACUCACGGAGAGGCCAUUGUCAGCUGCAAGCUGGAGGUCAAACAGAUCCCGGUUCCAGAUGCAGAGAAGCAAUAAGUAAACAUUCACAUUCUCACAGGAGCAGAAGGAAUGAGGCCUUUGCAGCAUAAGGAAGGGGCUGGAUUCCUGGAAGAACAUGUAUAUAUGGCCGGUGACCACACUAUUGAAGGGUUGUUGCCUGUGACCUCUUGCCGAGUGUUACCCUGUGUUAUGAUGAACAAUUGUGUCACUUUAUGCCUUCAUCGUUCUCUACAUUAUUAAGUCCACAUCCAUGUCCACAGUCUGCUUUCCCCCCAACGAUACUGUCUACGGUAACUACUGUAAAUGAUCUUCUUGUCAGUCUAACUAGGUGUACAACAACUACAUUUAACAUCUACGUGUUUAUAUCAAUAAAUAAUUUUAUUUCUGGUUUU
Notothenia coriiceps (black rockcod) is the source of this 1914-nucleotide RNA transcript. It is a transcript of the gene named myosin binding protein Hb, with no coding region annotated. Lineage: Eukaryota; Metazoa; Chordata; Actinopteri; Perciformes; Nototheniidae. The transcript is spliced from 13 exons. The record is from RefSeq and is a predicted model, not a curated record.